RNAcentral lists this ribosomal RNA (250 nucleotides) under uncultured bacterium. Its description in RNAcentral is "partial 16S ribosomal RNA". It matches the Rfam family "Bacterial small subunit ribosomal RNA", at positions 524 to 773 of the family's 1533-position model. The record is from RNAcentral.
UACGGAGGGGGCCAGCGUUGUUCGGAAUCAUUGGGCGUAAAGGGCGCGUAGGCGGCUUUGUAAGUCCGUUGUGAAAUCCCUCGGCUCAACCGAGGAACUGCGACGGAUACUGCUUGGCUUGAGUCCCGGAGAGGGUAGCGGAAUUCCCAGUGUAGCGGUGAAAUGCGUAGAUAUUGGGAGGAACAUCGGUGGCGAAGGCGGCUACCUGGACGGGUACUGACGCUGAGGCGCGAAAGCUAGGGGAGCAAAC